GCCCAGCCGUAAACAAUUAACUUACACCCAUAAGCGCCAGGGAACUACGAGCCAUGCUUAAAACCCAAAGGAUUUGACGGUGUUCCACCCAACUAGAGGAGCCUGUUCUAUAAUCGAUGAUCCCCGAUACACCCGACCACUCCUAGCUUAUCAGUCUGUAUACCUCCGUCGAAAGCUUACCAUGUGAACGUCUACAGUAGGCCCAAGGACCCGCAUAGCGCGUCAAUACGUCAGGUCAAGGUGCAACUUAAGGAGUGGGAAGUAAUUGGCUACAAUUUCUAACCUAGAACAAACGAAAGACUGCAUGAAAUCACAGUCACGAAGGCGGAUUUAGCAGUAAAAAGAAAAUAGAGAGUUCUUUUUAACCCGGCCCUGGAACGCGUACACACCGCCCGUCGCCCUCUUCGAUAGUAUCACUACCCCGUCCCUAACCAAUUUCCACGUCUUAGAAGAGGUAAGUCGUAACAUGGUAAGUGUACUGGAAAGUGUACUUGGAAUAUAGCAAAAUGUAGCUUAACAAAAGCCCCCCGCUUACACCGAGAAGUUAUCUGUUUGACCCAGAUCAUUUUGAGCCCUAAAUCUAGCCCACACAACCCCCUAUAACAUUACCAAACUACUGUAAAAAAUAAAACAUUUUAACAUUUUAGUAUAGGCGAUAGAAAAAUCACUAAGCGCUUUAGAGAAAGUACCGUAAGGGAAAAAUGAAAUAGAAAUGAAACAAUACCACAGCCACAAAUAGCAGAGAUAUCCCCUCG
Molecule: ribosomal RNA, 755 nt
Filed under: Odorrana schmackeri (piebald odorous frog)
Lineage: Eukaryota; Metazoa; Chordata; Amphibia; Anura; Ranidae
Description: partial 12S ribosomal RNA
Rfam family: Bacterial small subunit ribosomal RNA (bases 1-507)
Source: RNAcentral